Molecule: transfer RNA, 76 nt
Filed under: Candidatus Saccharibacteria bacterium RIFCSPHIGHO2_12_FULL_47_17
Lineage: Bacteria; Candidatus Saccharimonadota
Also listed under: 3 other names
Description: tRNA-Thr
Rfam family: tRNA
About the family: Transfer RNA (tRNA) molecules are approximately 80 nucleotides in length. Their secondary structure includes four short double-helical elements and three loops (D, anti-codon, and T loops). Further hydrogen bonds mediate the characteristic L-shaped molecular structure. tRNAs have two regions of fundamental functional importance: the anti-codon, which is responsible for specific mRNA codon recognition, and the 3' end, to which the tRNAs corresponding amino acid is attached (by aminoacyl-tRNA synthetases). tRNAs cope with the degeneracy of the genetic code in two manners: having more than one tRNA (with a specific anti-codon) for a particular amino acid; and 'wobble' base-pairing, i.e. permitting non-standard base-pairing at the 3rd anti-codon position.
Source: RNAcentral
GCCGAUAUAGCUCAGCUGGUAGAGCAGCACUUUCGUAAAGUGAAGGUCGGCGGUUCGAAUCCGCCUAUCGGCUCCA